RNAcentral lists this transfer RNA (72 nucleotides) under Chloroflexota bacterium. Its description in RNAcentral is "Chloroflexi bacterium (groundwater metagenome) tRNA-Met". It matches the Rfam family "tRNA". Rfam says of the family: Transfer RNA (tRNA) molecules are approximately 80 nucleotides in length. Their secondary structure includes four short double-helical elements and three loops (D, anti-codon, and T loops). The record is from RNAcentral. Lineage: Bacteria; Bacillati; Chloroflexota.
GGCGACGUAGCUCAGUGGUAGAGCAGGGGACUCAUAAGCCCUUGGUCGGUAGUCCGAAUCUACCCGUCGCCA